CCAGUGCAAGUGUGGAGUGGAGGCUUGUGCUGUGGAUGGAGAGCAGUGGGUGGCUGGGCCAUGGUGAAACUCAUGAAACACACUCAGACUCUGAAUGCCGACCACCUCUGCUUCCGCCUGGUUCCCUGCCCGCAGCCCUGCUGUCUUGAGGAGGAAUGAACACAAACAGACCAGGAGCUGGGGGAUGGACCGUGUCCCUUCUAGCCAAGAUUUUGGAAAAUGCAGAGUGGAAUGCUCUUUUUUCUUUUGAAGCAGAAAAGCUGUUGGGUGGCUCACAGAAUCACCAGGAAGAGGAACACGCAGACCUUCCAAAGGCACAGGAACAAAAGGAAGAACCCCAGGCAAAAUCACUCCCCAGAACUACUGCUGAGGCCCUGCUGGCUCCUGGGUGUUGCCCAAAGAGAGAAAGAAUAUUCUGCCUUCUUUCCUGGGACUGGAAUUCUCCUCCACUUGGGACUACCCAGAUCUUGUUCCCAGAUGCCUCUUGGAAUACUUAGUGGAGAAAUGCUGGCUCACUGGUCCUCAGACCUGGAAGAAUCCUGGAGCUUCAGAACCACAGAUACCUACCGGGAUCACUUGAUGGUCCAUGGCACUAUGGACUCUGGAGGGAGACCUUUGUAAUAAAUCCCAGCUCUGCAGCUGACUAGCUGUGCGACCUGGGGUAAGAAACAUUAUGUCUUCAUGCCUUGGUUUGUUCAUCUGUAGAAGGGGUGUAACAACAAUGUUACCCUCAUAGGUAAGGAAUGAAUGAGAAGUGCAUGGAUGCCACUUGGCAGACGGUUAAGUGCUCAAUAGAUGGGAAGCAGUAGCAGCAGCGACA
This 820-nucleotide long non-coding RNA is filed under the name Sus scrofa (pig). RNAcentral describes it as "lncRNA (ENSSSCG00025052816.1)". The record is from RNAcentral. Lineage: Eukaryota; Metazoa; Chordata; Mammalia; Artiodactyla; Suidae.